This 793-nucleotide ribosomal RNA is filed under the name uncultured archaeon. Its description in RNAcentral is "bacterial SSU rRNA". It matches the Rfam family "Archaeal small subunit ribosomal RNA", at positions 85 to 879 of the family's 1478-position model. The record is from RNAcentral.
ACUGCUCAGUAACACGUGGACAACCUGCCCUUAGGUUGGGUAUAAACCCGGGAAACUGGGUAUAAUACCCGAUAGGUCUCGAUUGCUGGAAUGCAUCGAGAUUUAAAGCUCCGGCGCCUAAGGAUGGGUCUGCGGCCUAUCAGGUAGUAGUGGGUGUAGCGUACCUACUAGCCUACGACGGGUACGGGUUGUGAGAGCAAGAGCCCGGAGAUGGAUUCUGAGACACGAAUCCAGGCCCUACGGGGUGCAGCAGGCGCGAAAACUUUACAAUGCUGGCAACAGCGAUAAGGGAACCUCGAGUGCCAGGUUACAAAUCUGGCUGUCGAGAUGCCUAAAAAGCAUUUCAUAGCAAGGGCCGGGCAAGACCGGUGCCAGCCGCCGCGGUAACACCGGCGGCUCGAGUGGUAACCGUUAUUAUUGGGUCUAAAGGGUCUGUAGCCGGCCGGAUAAGUCUCUUGAGAAAUCUGGCAGCUUAACUGUCAGGCUUUCAGGAGAUACUGUCUGGCUCGAGGCCGGGAGAGGUGAGAGGUACUUCAGGGGUAGGGGUGAAAUCUUGUAAUCCUUGAAGGACCACCAGUGGCGAAGGCGUCUCACCAGAACGGACCUGACGGCAAGGGACGAAAGCUAGGGGCACGAACCGGAUUAGAUACCCGGGUAGUCCUAGCCGUAAACGAUACUCGCUAGGUGUCGGCCACGGUGCGACCGUUGUCGGUGCCGCAGGGAAGCCGUGAAGCGAGCCACCUGGGAAGUACGGCCGCAAGGCUGAAACUUAAAGGAAUUGGCGGGGGAGCAC